This is a long non-coding RNA of Pyrus x bretschneideri (Chinese white pear), 412 nucleotides long. RefSeq lists it as uncharacterized. The record is from RefSeq and is a predicted model, not a curated record. The transcript has 3 exons. Lineage: Eukaryota; Viridiplantae; Streptophyta; Magnoliopsida; Rosales; Rosaceae.
AGUAAAAUGGCGCUAAGGCGGCAAAUGAGCGUUUCUCUUCCCCCCACCCCUUCGUAUCCCCUACCCCUUCGCGUCUGCGACUGAAGAGGGAGAGGGAGAAAGCUCUUCAGUCUUCAAAUCCACGAUCCAUCUCUUCGCGGUUCGCAAGCAGAUACAAAUCCGAAGCGUUAAAGAGAGAGAGAGAGAGAGAGAGAGAGAGAGAGAGAGAGAGAGCUAUUCAGUCUUCGAAUCUACGAUCCACCUCUCGCGGCUCGCAAGUAGAUUCAAAUCCAAAAGAUAUUUCUUGAAUUACUGGAGAGAUGAAAGCUCCUACUUACACUUGGUGCUCAGUUCGCAGUCGGCUCACAUUCUUAAGCUUGGGAGUUGGUAAUGAUGCAGCUUCUGGUGUUAGAGAGACUAAGGCUUUUGACAU